RNAcentral lists this ribosomal RNA (460 nucleotides) under uncultured bacterium. RNAcentral's name for it is "partial 16S ribosomal RNA". It matches the Rfam family "Bacterial small subunit ribosomal RNA", at positions 338 to 795 of the family's 1533-position model. The record is from RNAcentral.
CCUACGGGAGGCAGCAGUGAGGAAUAUUGGUCAAUGGACGAGAGUCUGAACCAGCCAAGUAGCGUGAAGGAUGACUGCCCUAUGGGUUGUAAACUUCUUUUAUAUGGGAAUAAAAUGUUCCACGUGUGGGAGUUUGUAUGUACCAUAUGAAUAAGGAUCGACUAACUCCGUGCCAGCAGCCGCGGUAAUACGGAGGAUCCGAGCGUUAUCCGGAUUUAUUGGGUUUAAAGGGAGCGUAGGUGGAUUGUUAAGGCAGUUGUGAAAGUUUGCGGCUCAACCGUAAAAUUGCAGUUGAAACUGGCAGUCUUGAGUACAGUAGAGGUGGGCGGAAUUCGUGGUGUAGCGGUGAAAUGCUUAGAUAUCACGAAGAACUCCGAUUGCGAAGGCAGCUCACUGGACUGCAACUGACACUGAGGCUCGAAAGUGUGGGUAUCAAACAGGAUUAGAUACCCGAGUAGUC